This 375-nucleotide ribosomal RNA is filed under the name uncultured eukaryote. RNAcentral describes it as "SSU rRNA". It matches the Rfam family "Eukaryotic small subunit ribosomal RNA", at positions 587 to 972 of the family's 1831-position model. The record is from RNAcentral.
AGCUCCAAUAGCGUAUAUUAAAGUUGUUGCAGUUAAAAAGCUCGUAGUUGGAUUUCUGGCAGUGUGACUCCGGCCGGCAUGACGUCGGGUCCAGAGCGCGCUACCAUCCUUCUGUUAACCUUUUCGGGAUUCAUUUCCCGAUCUGGGGCUCAGAUAUUUUACCUUGAGAAAAUUAGAGUGUUUCAGGCAGGCUUUCGCCGGAAUACAUUAGCAUGGAAUAAUGGAAAAGGACUUCAACCUCUUCUGUUGGUCUGAGAGGCUGUAGUAAUGAUUAAUAGGGAUAGUUGGGGGCAUUAGUACUUGACUGUCAGAGGUGAAAUUCUCCGAUUUGUUAAAGACUAACUUAUGCGAAAGCAUUUGCCAAGGAUGUUUUCA